Molecule: ribosomal RNA, 465 nt
Filed under: uncultured bacterium
Lineage: Bacteria
Description: partial 16S ribosomal RNA
Rfam family: Bacterial small subunit ribosomal RNA
Source: RNAcentral
GACGAACGCUGGCGGCGUGCUUAACACAUGCAAGUCGUACGGUAAGGCCCUUUCGGGGGUGCACGAGUGGCGCACGGGUGAGUAACACGUGAGUAACCUGCCCACAACUUUGGGAUAACGCUAGGAAACUGGUGCUAAUACUGGAUAUGUGCUCCUGCUGCAUGGUGGGGGUUGGAAAGCUCCGGCGGUUGUGGAUGGACUCGCGGCCUAUCAGCUUGUUGGUGGGGUAGUGGCCUACCAAGGCGGCGACGGGUAGCCGGCCGGAGAGGGUGACCGGCCACAUUGGGACUAAGAUACGGCCCAGACUCCUACGGGAGGCAGCAGUGGGGAAUAUUGCACAAUGGGCGCAAGCCUGAUGCAGCAACGCCGCGUGCGGGAGGACGGGCUUUGGGUUGUAAACCGCUUUCAGCAGGGACGAAGCUUUUUGUGACGGUACCUGCAGAAGAAGCACCGGCUAACUACGUG